RNAcentral lists this ribosomal RNA (497 nucleotides) under uncultured bacterium. RNAcentral's name for it is "partial 16S ribosomal RNA". It matches the Rfam family "Bacterial small subunit ribosomal RNA", at positions 28 to 507 of the family's 1533-position model. The record is from RNAcentral.
GAUGAACGCUGGCGGCGUGCCUAAUACAUGCAAGUCGAGCGAACGGAUGAGAAGCUUGCUCCUCUGACGUUAGCGGCGGACGGGUGAGUAACACGUGGAUAACCUACCUAUAAGACUGGGAUAACUUCGGGAAACCGGAGCUAAUACCGGAUAAUAUAUUGAACCGCAUGGUUCAAUAGUGAAAGACGGUUUUGCUGUCACUUAUAGAUGGAUCCGCGCCGCAUUAGCUAGUUGGUAAGGUAACGGCUUACCAAGGCAACGAUGCGUAGCCGACCUGAGAGGGUGAUCGGCCACACUGGAACUGAGACACGGUCCAGACUCCUACGGGAGGCAGCAGUAGGGAAUCUUCCGCAAUGGGCGAAAGCCUGACGGAGCAACGCCGCGUGAGUGAUGAAGGUCUUCGGAUCGUAAAACUCUGUUAUUAGGGAAGAACAAAUGUGUAAGUAACUAUGCACGUCUUGACGGUACCUAAUCAGAAAGCCACGGCUAACUACGUG